GGUCAGGCUGAAGACCUUACCGGAUUAGCUGAGAGGUGGUGCAUGGCCGUCGUCAGUUCGUACUGUGAAGCAUCCUGUUAAGUCAGGCAACGAGCGAGACCCACGUCCACAGUUGCCAGCAUACCCUCCGGGGUGAUGGGUACACUGUGGAGACCGCCGCUGCUAAAGCGGAGGAAGGAAUGGGCAACGGUAGGUCAGUAUGCCCCGAAUCUCCCGGGCUACACGCGGGCUACAAUGGUUGGUACAAUGGGCAUCUACCCCGAAAGGGGAAGGAAAUCUCUUAAAGCCAAUCGUAGUUCGGAUUGAGGGCUGCAACUCGCCCUCAUGAAGCUGGAAUCCGUAGUAAUCGCGUUUCAAAAUAGCGCGGUGAAUAUGUCCCUGCUCCUU
This 387-nucleotide ribosomal RNA is filed under the name uncultured Methanosaeta sp. RNAcentral describes it as "bacterial SSU rRNA". It matches the Rfam family "Archaeal small subunit ribosomal RNA", at positions 952 to 1338 of the family's 1478-position model. The record is from RNAcentral. Lineage: Archaea; Methanobacteriati; Methanobacteriota; Methanomicrobia; Methanotrichales; Methanotrichaceae.